AGUGAACGCUGGCGGUAGGCCUAACACAUGCAAGUCGAACGGCAGCACAGUAAGAGCUUGCUCUUACGGGUGGCGAGUGGCGGACGGGUGAGGAAUACAUCGGAAUCUACUUUUUCGUGGGGGAUAACGUAGGGAAACUUACGCUAAUACCGCAUACGACCUACGGGUGAAAGCAGGGGAUCUCCGGACCUUGCGCGAUUGAAUGAGCCGAUGUCGGAUUAGCUAGUUGGCGGGGUAAAGGCCCACCAAGGCGACGAUCCGUAGCUGGUCUGAGAGGAUGAUCAGCCACACUGGAACUGAGACACGGUCCAGACUCCUACGGGAGGCAGCAGUGGGGAAUAUUGGACAAAGGGCGCAAGCCUGAUCCAGCCAUACCGCGUGGGUGAAGAAGGCCUUCGGGCUGUAAAGCCCUUUUGUUGGGAAAGAAAAGCAGCAGGUUAAUACCCCGCUGUUCUGACGGUACCCAAAGAAUAAGCACCGGCUAACUUCGUG
Molecule: ribosomal RNA, 492 nt
Filed under: uncultured bacterium
Lineage: Bacteria
Description: partial 16S ribosomal RNA
Rfam family: Bacterial small subunit ribosomal RNA
Source: RNAcentral